ACGGUAACAGGGGAGCUUGCUCCCGCUGACGAGUGGCGAACGGGUGAGUAAUGCAUCGGAACGUGCCGAAUAGUGGGGGAUAACGCACCGAAAGGUGUGCUAAUACCGCAUACGCCCUGAGGGGGAAAGUGGGGGACCGCAAGGCCUCACGCUAAUCGAGCGGCCGAUGUCGGAUUAGCUAGUUGGUGGGGUAAAGGCUCACCAAGGCGACGAUCCGUAGCGGGUCUGAGAGGAUGAUCCGCCACACUGGGACUGAGACACGGCCCAGACUCCUACGGGAGGCAGCAGUGGGGAAUUUUGGACAAUGGGGGAAACCCUGAUCCAGCCAUGCCGCGUGUCUGAAGAAGGCCUUCGGGUUGUAAAGGACUUUUGUCCGGGAGGAAACCCUGAUCGUUAAUAGCGGUCGGGACUGACAGUACCGGAAGAAUAAGCACCGGCUAACUACGUGCCAGCAGCCGCGGUAAUACGUAGGGUGCAAGCGUUAAUCGGAAUUACUGGGCGUAAAGCGUGCGCAGGCGGUGAGAUAAGUCAGCUGUGAAAGCCCCGGGCUCAACCUGGGAACUGCGGCCGAAACUGUCUCGCUAGA
Molecule: ribosomal RNA, 586 nt
Filed under: uncultured Microvirgula sp.
Lineage: Bacteria; Pseudomonadati; Pseudomonadota; Betaproteobacteria; Neisseriales; Aquaspirillaceae
Description: bacterial SSU rRNA
Rfam family: Bacterial small subunit ribosomal RNA
Source: RNAcentral